Molecule: ribosomal RNA, 263 nt
Filed under: uncultured Staphylococcus sp.
Lineage: Bacteria; Bacillati; Bacillota; Bacilli; Caryophanales; Staphylococcaceae
Description: partial 16S ribosomal RNA
Rfam family: Bacterial small subunit ribosomal RNA
Source: RNAcentral
CGGACGGGUGAGUAACACGUGGAUAACCUACCUAUAAGACUGGGAUAACUUCGGGAAACCGGAGCUAAUACCGGAUAAUAUAUUGAACCGCAUGGUUCAAUAGUGAAAGACGGUUUUGCUGUCACUUAUAGAUGGAUCCGCGCUGCAUUAGCUAGUUGGUAAGGUAACGGCUUACCAAGGCAACGAUGCGUAGCCGACCUGAGAGGGUGGUCGGCCACACUGGAACUGAGACACGGUCCAGACUCCUACGGGAGGCAGCAGCU